UUGUAUUUAUUUACAAUAAUUGUGUGUGUGUAAUAACAAAUAAACAAUUGUAAAUUUCGAAUGCAGUAACGAUACGAAUGUUCCAACAAGAGCAAACUGAAGGAUGUAUCGCUUAUUUCAUGAAGCAAAUACAGUCAGGGAAACUAUGCAUAACUUUUGACAGAUGUAGGUUAGAGUGAAUCACAUCUUGAAAGUGCUUACCAAAUUACAAGCACAAUCAACCAUAUAUUGCAGGAAAUGGAAUGCAAGAUGGAAUAAUGAUGCUGAGUAAUAAAUACGUGCAAGCUUCUUUGACUUUAUGUGAACUUUAUAUGUUGUUGACAAUAAGACAAAUCAAAAUGGGGGUAUAUUUGCCAUUAUUUGAAUCUGUACAAACAUUGAUGGGAAAAUCACCACCAAAAAUUAUGAAGUAAAAAAAUUGAAUAGAUACAAUAAAGAAAUUAACCAGCGUAGAGUGAAAUACUAAGACAAAUAACAAGAACGUACUCUGUAAAGAAAUGCAAUUACUUUCUCGCAAGAUAUAUCUGGAAAUAUGCUUAAGCAUUUAUUCACACAGUGAUGAGGAAAUUACAACAAACAAAUUAUGAAGUAGAAAAAUAUAAUAGAUACAGUGAACAUAUUAUCUAAAGAAGAAGAUUAUUAAAUUAGAUAAGUUUAUUUUGCAAAUCAUCGACUAUAAAAACAAUGUAAUGCCAGCAUACUUUAAGUAAAUAAAUUAA
Osmia lignaria (orchard mason bee) is the source of this 719-nucleotide long non-coding RNA. RefSeq lists it as uncharacterized. Lineage: Eukaryota; Metazoa; Arthropoda; Insecta; Hymenoptera; Megachilidae. The record is from RefSeq and is a predicted model, not a curated record.